This 238-nucleotide unclassified non-coding RNA is filed under the name uncultured fungus. RNAcentral describes it as "sequence contains ITS2". The stretch from base 1 to 52 matches the Rfam family "5.8S ribosomal RNA", at positions 103 to 154 of the family's 154-position model. Lineage: Eukaryota; Fungi. The record is from RNAcentral.
AACGCACAUUGCGCCCUCUGGUAUUCCGGAGGGCAUGCCUGUUCGAGCGUCAUUACAACCCUCAAGCUCUGCUUGGUAUUGGGCUUCAGGCGUCAGCCUGGGCCUUAAAAUCAGUGGCGGUGCCGUCUGGCUCUAAGCGUAGUAAAUCUCUCGCUAUAGAUGCCUGGUGGAGACUUGCCAUAACCCCCAAUUUUUACAGGUUGACCUCGGAUCAGGUAGGGAUACCCGCUGAACUUAA